RNAcentral lists this ribosomal RNA (486 nucleotides) under uncultured bacterium. RNAcentral describes it as "partial 16S ribosomal RNA". It matches the Rfam family "Bacterial small subunit ribosomal RNA", at positions 30 to 507 of the family's 1533-position model. The record is from RNAcentral.
AUUGAACGCUGGCGGCAUGCCUUACACAUGCAAGUCGAACGGCAGCACGGGUGCUUGCACCUGGUGGCGAGUGGCGAACGGGUGAGUAAUACAUCGGAACAUGUCCUGUAGUGGGGGAUAGCCCGGCGAAAGCCGGAUUAAUACCGCAUACGAUCCACGGAUGAAAGCGGGGGACCUUCGGGCCUCGCGCCAUAGGGUUGGCCGAUGGCUGAUUAGCUAGUUGGUGGGGUAAAGGCCUACCAAGGCGACGAUCAGUAGCUGGUCUGAGAGGACGACCAGCCACACUGGGACUGAGACACGGCCCAGACUCCUACGGGAGGCAGCAGUGGGGAAUUUUGGACAAUGGGCGAAAGCCUGAUCCAGCAAUGCCGCGUGUGUGAAGAAGGCCUUCGGGUUGUAAAGCACUUUUGUCCGGAAAGAAAUCCUUGACUCUAAUACAGUCGGGGGAUGACGGUACCGGAAGAAUAAGCACCGGCUAACUACGUG